This 253-nucleotide ribosomal RNA is filed under the name uncultured bacterium. RNAcentral describes it as "partial 16S ribosomal RNA". It matches the Rfam family "Bacterial small subunit ribosomal RNA", at positions 524 to 776 of the family's 1533-position model. The record is from RNAcentral.
UACGGAGGGUGCAAGCGUUGCUCGGAAUUAUUGGGCGUAAAGGGUAGGUAGGUGGUCUCAUUUGUCUGAGGUGAAAGCCCAGGGCUUAACCUUGGAAGUGCCUCAGAAACGGUGAGACUGGAGUACUGGAGAGGGUCGUGGAAUUCCCGGUGUAGCGGUGAAAUGCGUAGAGAUGCGGAGGAACACCGAUGGCGAAGGCAGCCCCCUGGGCUAACACUGACGCUCAGGCACGAAAGCGUGGGGAGCAAACAGG